This 1482-nucleotide ribosomal RNA is filed under the name Triticum aestivum (bread wheat). RNAcentral's name for it is "partial small subunit ribosomal RNA". Lineage: Eukaryota; Viridiplantae; Streptophyta; Magnoliopsida; Poales; Poaceae. The record is from RNAcentral.
AUGGGCGGACGAGGCGAGGCGAGCUCGGCAGCCAUGACGGCCUCCUCAGCGCCUCUCCUCCUCCCCCGCGCUCCGGCGCCGGCGGCGCGGAACGAGGUGCGGCGGCAGGUGGGGCUCGCGGCGCCGCUGGUGGCGUGCAGCCUGCUGCAGUACAGCCUGCAGGUUGUUUCCGUCAUGUUCGCCGGCCACCUCGGCGAGCUCCCCCUCUCCGCCGCCUCCGUCGCCUCCUCCUUCGCCAACGUCACCGGCUUCAGCGUCCUGCUGGGAAUGGGAAGCGCACUCGACACAUUGUGCGGACAAUCAUAUGGGGCAAAACAAUAUGAUAUGCUGGGGACGCAUGCUCAGAGGGCUAUCUUCGUCCUUAUGCUUUCAAGCGUUCCUCUGGCCUUUGUAUUGGCUUUCACUGGCCAAAUUCUUACUGCUCUUGGUCAAAAUCCAGAGAUAUCAUAUGGAGCUGGAACCUAUGCCCGGUUGUUGAUUCCUGGUCUUUUCGCAUACGGCUUGCUCCAGUGCCUUACCAAGUUCCUGCAGGCCCAAAAUAUUGUCCACCCACUGGUAGUUUGUUCUGGGGUGACGCUGAUAUUCCACAUUCUGCUGUGCUGGUUCCUUGUUCAAAAUUCCGGUCUUGGCUACAGAGGUGCAGCCCUGGCAACCUCGGUAUCUUACUGGUUCAAUGUGAUAUUGCUAGCACUGUAUGUUAAAUUCUCUGAAGCUGGCAGAAGGAGUUGGCAUGGAUGGUCAAGGGCGGUGUUAAAGGAUGUGAACUUGUUUUUAAGCCUGGCCAUUCCAUCGACAUUUAUGACUUGCUUGGAGUACUGGGCAUUCGAGAUGGUGGUUCUCCUUGCAGGUUUUCUUCCAAAUCCAAAACUGGAAACUUCAAUUUUAUCCAUCAGCCUAAACACAAUGUGGAUGGUUUAUACAAUUCCAAGCGGCCUCAGCAGUGCAAUAAGUAUUAGAGUGUCCAAUGAAUUAGGCGCCGGGAAUCCACAAGCAGCACGUCUAUCAGUUCUUAUUUCAGGAAUCAUGUGCCUAGCAGAAGGCCUUCUUGUAGUUAUCAUCACAGUUUCUGUACGAGAUGUGUGGGGUUAUUUGUACAGCAAUGAAGAAGAGAUAGUAAAGUAUGUAUCCAUAAUGAUGCCAAUUCUCGCCACUUCUAACUUCAUGGAUGGCAUACAAUGCACACUAUCAGGUGCCGCUAGAGGGUGUGGCUGGCAGAAAGUAUGCUCAUUCAUCAACCUAUGUGCUUACUAUGCUUUCGGUAUCCCUUCAGCUGUUAUUUUUGCAUUUGUUCUGAAGAUCGGUGGUAAGGGGCUUUGGCUGGGAAUCAUAUGUGCCAUGGUAGUGCAAAUAAUAGCUCUGCUUGUGAUGAUGCUUCAUACCAACUGGGAUAAAGAGGUAGGCCCGUGGUCUCUGUUGAUGAAAUUGGAUGGUAUGGUAGUAUUAUCUACUACUCCCUCCGUUCCGAAAUAUAAGUCUUUUUAG